UGACUGGUUGUUUUGUUUUGAGACAGGGA
This 29-nucleotide non-coding RNA is filed under the name Rattus norvegicus (Norway rat). The record is from RNAcentral. Lineage: Eukaryota; Metazoa; Chordata; Mammalia; Rodentia; Muridae.